This 468-nucleotide ribosomal RNA is filed under the name uncultured bacterium. Its description in RNAcentral is "partial 16S ribosomal RNA". It matches the Rfam family "Bacterial small subunit ribosomal RNA", at positions 28 to 507 of the family's 1533-position model. The record is from RNAcentral.
GACGAACGCUGGCGGCGUGCUUAACACAUGCAAGUCGAACGGAAAGGCCCUGCUUUUGUGGGGUGCUCGAGUGGCGAACGGGUGAGUAACACGUGAGUAACCUGCCCUUGACUUUGGGAUAACUUCAGGAAACUGGGGCUAAUACCGGAUAGGAGCUCCUGCUGCAUGGUGGGGGUUGGAAAGUUUCGGCGGUUGGGGAUGGACUCGCGGCUUAUCAGCUUGUUGGUGGGGUAGUGGCUUACCAAGGCUUUGACGGGUAGCCGGCCUGAGAGGGUGACCGGCGACAUUGGGACUGAGAUACAGCCCAGACUCCUACGGGAGGCAGCAGUGGGGAAUAUUGCACAAUGGGCGGAAGCCUGAUGCAGCAACGCCGCGUGCGGGAUGACGGCCUUCGGGUUGUAAACCGCUUUCGCCUGUGACGAAGCGUGAGUGACGGUAAUGGGUAAAGAAGCACCGGCUAACUACGUG